This 387-nucleotide ribosomal RNA is filed under the name uncultured bacterium. RNAcentral's name for it is "bacterial SSU rRNA". It matches the Rfam family "Bacterial small subunit ribosomal RNA", at positions 28 to 417 of the family's 1533-position model. The record is from RNAcentral.
GACGAACGCUGGCGGCGUGCUUAACACAUGCAAGUCGAGCGGUAAGGCCCUUUCGGGGGUACACGAGCGGCGAACGGGUGAGUAACACGUGGGUGACCUGCCCUCAGCUCUGGGAUAAGCCCGGGAAACUGGGUCUAAUACUGGAUAUUACUCUGCGGUGCAUGCCGUGGGGUGGAAAGCCUUGUGCGGCUGGGGAUGGGCCCGCGGCCUAUCAGCUUGUUGGUGGGGUGAUGGCCACCAAGGCGACGACGGGUAGCCGGCCUGAGAGGGCGACCGGCCACACUGGGACUGAGACACGGCCCAGACUCCUACGGGAGGCAGCAGUGGGGAAUCUUGCGCAAUGGGCGAAAGCCUGACGCGGCGACGCCGCGUGAGGGAUGACGGCCU